RNAcentral lists this transfer RNA (75 nucleotides) under Puniceicoccales bacterium. RNAcentral describes it as "tRNA-Arg". It matches the Rfam family "tRNA". Rfam says of the family: Transfer RNA (tRNA) molecules are approximately 80 nucleotides in length. Their secondary structure includes four short double-helical elements and three loops (D, anti-codon, and T loops). The record is from RNAcentral. Lineage: Bacteria; Pseudomonadati; Verrucomicrobiota; Opitutia; Puniceicoccales.
GUCCCUAUAGUUUAAUGGAUAGAACCGCGGUUUCCUAAACCGUUAAUCCCAGUUCGAGUCUGGGUGGGGGCGCCA